UACGGGGGGGGCAAGCGUUGUUCGGAAUUACUGGGCGUAAAGGGCUCGUAGGCGGUCAACUAAGUCGGAUGUGAAAUCCCCAGGCUUAACCUGGGAACUGCAUCCGAUACUGGAUGGCUUGAAUCCGGGAGAGGGAUGCAGAAUUCCAGGUGUAGCGGUGAAAUGCGUAGAUAUCUGGAGGAAUACCGGUGGCGGAAGGCGGCAUCCUGGACCGGCAUUGACGCUGAGUGAGCGAAAGCCAGGGGAGCAAACGGGG
RNAcentral lists this ribosomal RNA (256 nucleotides) under uncultured bacterium. RNAcentral describes it as "partial 16S ribosomal RNA". It matches the Rfam family "Bacterial small subunit ribosomal RNA", at positions 524 to 777 of the family's 1533-position model. The record is from RNAcentral.